UUAAGCGACUAAGCGUACACGGUGGAUGCCCUGGCAGUCAGAGGCGAUGAAGGACGUGCUAAUCUGCGAUAAGCGUCGGUAAGGUGAUAUGAACCGUUAUAACCGACGAUUUCCGAAUGGGGAAACCCAGUGUGAUUCGUCACACUAUCAUUAACUGAAUCCAUAGGUUAAUGAGGCGAACCGGGGGAACUGAAACAUCUAAGUACCCCGAGGAAAAGAAAUCAACCGAGAUUCCCCCAGUAGCGGCGAGCGAACGGGGAGCAGCCCAGAGCCUGAAUCAGUGUGUGUGUUAGUGGAAGCGUCUGGAAAGGCGCGCGAUACAGGGUGACAGCCCCGUACACAAAAAUGCACAUGCUGUGAGCUCGAUGAGUAGGGCGGGACACGUGGUAUCCUGUCUGAAUAUGGGGGGACCAUCCUCCAAGGCUAAAUACUCCUGACUGACCGAUAGUGAACCAGUACCGUGAGGGAAAGGCGAAAAGAACCCCGGCGAGGGGAGUGAAAAAGAACCUGAAACCGUGUACGUACAAGCAGUGGGAGCACGCUUAGGCGUGUGACUGCGUACCUUUUGUAUAAUGGGUCAGCGACUUAUAUUCUGUAGCAAGGUUAACCGAAUAGGGGAGCCGAAGGGAAACCGAGUCUUAACUGGGCGUUAAGUUGCAGGGUAUAGACCCGAAACCCGGUGAUCUAGCCAUGGGCAGGUUGAAGGUUGGGUAACACUAACUGGAGGACCGAACCGACUAAUGUUGAAAAAUUAGCGGAUGACUUGUGGCUGGGGGUGAAAGGCCAAUCAAACCGGGAGAUAGCUGGUUCUCCCCGAAAGCUAUUUAGGUAGCGCCUCGUGAAUUCAUCUCCGGGGGUAGAGCACUGUUUCGGCAAGGGGGUCAUCCCGACUUACCAACCCGAUGCAAACUGCGAAUACCGGAGAAUGUUAUCACGGGAGACACACGGCGGGUGCUAACGUCCGUCGUGAAGAGGGAAACAACCCAGACCGCCAGCUAAGGUCCCAAAGUCAUGGUUAAGUGGGAAACGAUGUGGGAAGGCCCAGACAGCCAGGAUGUUGGCUUAGAAGCAGCCAUCAUUUAAAGAAAGCGUAAUAGCUCACUGGUCGAGUCGGCCUGCGCGGAAGAUGUAACGGGGCUAAACCAUGCACCGAAGCUGCGGCAGCGACGCUGAUGCGUUGUUGGGUAGGGGAGCGUUCUGUAAGCCUGCGAAGGUGUGCUGUGAGGCAUGCUGGAGGUAUCAGAAGUGCGAAUGCUGACAUAAGUAACGAUAAAGCGGGUGAAAAGCCCGCUCGCCGGAAGACCAAGGGUUCCUGUCCAACGUUAAUCGGGGCAGGGUGAGUCGACCCCUAAGGCGAGGCCGAAAGGCGUAGUCGAUGGGAAACAGGUUAAUAUUCCUGUACUUGGUGUUACUGCGAAGGGGGGACGGAGAAGGCUAUGUUGGCCGGGCGACGGUUGUCCCGGUUUAAGCGUGUAGGCUGGUUUUCCAGGCAAAUCCGGAAAACUAAGGCUGAGGCGUGAUGACGAGGCACUACGGUGCUGAAGCAACAAAUGCCCUGCUUCCAGGAAAAGCCUCUAAGCAUCAGGUAACAUCAAAUCGUACCCCAAACCGACACAGGUGGUCAGGUAGAGAAUACCAAGGCGCUUGAGAGAACUCGGGUGAAGGAACUAGGCAAAAUGGUGCCGUAACUUCGGGAGAAGGCACGCUGAUAUGUAGGUGAAGCGACUUGCUCGUGGAGCUGAAAUCAGUCGAAGAUACCAGCUGGCUGCAACUGUUUAUUAAAAACACAGCACUGUGCAAACACGAAAGUGGACGUAUACGGUGUGACGCCUGCCCGGUGCCGGAAGGUUAAUUGAUGGGGUCAGCGCAAGCGAAGCUCUUGAUCGAAGCCCCGGUAAACGGCGGCCGUAACUAUAACGGUCCUAAGGUAGCGAAAUUCCUUGUCGGGUAAGUUCCGACCUGCACGAAUGGCGUAAUGAUGGCCAGGCUGUCUCCACCCGAGACUCAGUGAAAUUGAACUCGCUGUGAAGAUGCAGUGUACCCGCGGCAAGACGGAAAGACCCCGUGAACCUUUACUAUAGCUUGACACUGAACAUUGAGCCUUGAUGUGUAGGAUAGGUGGGAGGCUUUGAAGUGUGGACGCCAGUCUGCAUGGAGCCGACCUUGAAAUACCACCCUUUAAUGUUUGAUGUUCUAACGUUGACCCGUAAUCCGGGUUGCGGACAGUGUCUGGUGGGUAGUUUGACUGGGGCGGUCUCCUCCUAAAGAGUAACGGAGGAGCACGAAGGUUGGCUAAUCCUGGUCGGACAUCAGGAGGUUAGUGCAAUGGCAUAAGCCAGCUUGACUGCGAGCGUGACGGCGCGAGCAGGUGCGAAAGCAGGUCAUAGUGAUCCGGUGGUUCUGAAUGGAAGGGCCAUCGCUCAACGGAUAAAAGGUACUCCGGGGAUAACAGGCUGAUACCGCCCAAGAGUUCAUAUCGACGGCGGUGUUUGGCACCUCGAUGUCGGCUCAUCACAUCCUGGGGCUGAAGUAGGUCCCAAGGGUAUGGCUGUUCGCCAUUUAAAGUGGUACGCGAGCUGGGUUUAGAACGUCGUGAGACAGUUCGGUCCCUAUCUGCCGUGGGCGCUGGAGAAUUGAGGGGGGCUGCUCCUAGUACGAGAGGACCGGAGUGGACGCAUCACUGGUGUUCGGGUUGUCAUGCCAAUGGCACUGCCCGGUAGCUAAAUGCGGAAGAGAUAAGUGCUGAAAGCAUCUAAGCACGAAACUUGCCCCGAGAUGAGUUCUCCCUGACUCCUUGAGAGUCCUGAAGGAACGUUGAAGACGACGACGUUGAUAGGCCGGGUGUGUAAGCGCAGCGAUGCGUUGAGCUAACCGGUACUAAUGAACCGUGAGGCUUAACCUU
RNAcentral lists this ribosomal RNA (2902 nucleotides) under Escherichia coli G3/10. RNAcentral's name for it is "bacterial LSU rRNA". It matches the Rfam family "Bacterial large subunit ribosomal RNA". The record is from RNAcentral. Lineage: Bacteria; Pseudomonadati; Pseudomonadota; Gammaproteobacteria; Enterobacterales; Enterobacteriaceae.